GGGUAAUGGCCUACCAAACCUAUGACGGGUAGGGGGCGUGAGAGCGCGUUCCCCCAGAAUGGGACUGAGACCAAAACUGAUCUCCUGCAGAAGCAAUUCUGCAGUAAAAUUUGGCUAAUAACGGUGGAGCCCUACUUGACUUUCGGAUAAACUUCGGUUUAUUGUUAGUUAAGGGGUAAUACCGUGGGAAGUCGACUAAGUGUAACCAAACAAAAUGUGUUCGCCUAUAUUGCUGGAUUUCUCGAUGCUGAUGGUUAUAUAACUAUCAAAAUUGAGAAAAGUAAAACCAACAGGUUAGGUGAAAGAGGAAGGGUUCGGGUUGGAUUUGCUCAAAACAAAUCAAGAAUUUUUGUUCUUGAUAAGCUUUGUAAAUUCAUAAAAUCCGGAGUUGUAUCUGAAUAUAAUCAUAACAAUAUGGCUGAGUAUGUAGUUAACGAUCAGAAAGUGAUUUUUGAAUUGUUAACGAAACUCAAACCAUUUGUUAUUGUUAAAAAGAAACAAUUAAGACUCGCUUUAGAGUUUUUGCUUCUUAAAGAGUUUGGUUAUUCGAUAAAAUCUUUGAGAAAGAUGAAAAAUUUAGAGGUUAAAAUGUCUAAAUUUAAUAGUUAUCCAAAGAUGUCUGACCCCGUAACGACUGAAGCUUAAGUGCUGAGAUAUAAGUUUAAUACACUUAUAUAAGAUGCCAACUCCUAUAUUACCCCUUUGGGUGGUGUAGGUUGAAGAUAUAGUCUGCGCCAUUAGUAAUAAUGGAAUAAGUGACGGCCCAUACACCUACGGGUGGCAGCAACAGGGAAUCGUACGCAAUGGACGAAAGUCUGACGUCGCAAUGCCGCGUGGAGGAUGAAGGCCUUCGGGUCGUAAACUCCUUUUACAGUAAUAGAGAUGUUAUUGAGAAUAAGCACCUGCUAACUCUGUGCCAGCAGCAGCGGUAAUACAGAGGGUGCAAGCGUUAUCCGGAUUUAUUGGGCGUAAAGCGUUUCGUAGGUUUCUAGAUAAGUUACUCUUCAAAGACCACGGCUCAACCGGGGGAAGGGGAGUAAUACUAUCUGGAUUGAAAUAUGGUGGGGCUUCCGGAACUGAUGGUGUAGUAGUGAAAUACGUUGAUAUCAUCAGGAACUCCGAGGGCGAAGGCAGGAAGCUAACUAUUUUUUGACACUGAUGAACGACAGCUAGGGGAGCGAAAGGGAUU
Molecule: ribosomal RNA, 1189 nt
Filed under: Candidatus Woesebacteria bacterium
Lineage: Bacteria; Candidatus Woeseibacteriota
Description: bacterial SSU rRNA
Rfam family: Bacterial small subunit ribosomal RNA (bases 631-1189)
Source: RNAcentral